AAUCCACACUCCGAACACACCGUGUCCCCUGCCGAGUGGUCAAACACCACCUCCGUCUGUCGCUUGCAAUCCGAGCAGAACGCGUCCCCCAUUGAUCAAUAAUAAUAAUAAUAAUAAAUUAAAUUACGCUUAUAAUUAAAAACAAAAAAAAGAAAAUAUUUUUUCUUUCUUUUCUGCUCUGUUUCGAUUUCAAUUUUACAUAUUUUAUUAGGUUUUGCUGCUGUUCGAACCGAUAUUUGGAGGAAGAAGAAGAAAAGAUUGAGG
RNAcentral lists this unclassified non-coding RNA (264 nucleotides) under Hevea brasiliensis (rubber tree). The record is from RNAcentral. Lineage: Eukaryota; Viridiplantae; Streptophyta; Magnoliopsida; Malpighiales; Euphorbiaceae.